UUACGGCCGCAUCACGUCGAAAGAUCGGUUCCUGUACAAUCACCGAAGUUAAACAACGUCGAUCCUGGUAAGUACCUUGAUGGGUUACCGCUUGGGAAUACCAGGUACUGUAAG
Non-coding RNA from Acanthosepion pharaonis, 114 nucleotides. NCBI's taxonomy places the organism in Eukaryota, Metazoa, Mollusca, Cephalopoda, Sepiida, Sepiidae. The record is from the annotation of a GenBank genome assembly.